CAAAACGCCUCAUCACCAGCCAUACAAAACGCCUCAUCACAAGGGCUAUUUAAGGUUCCCUGGCCCCUCUGUGUUGGCUAAAGACAGGGCUAUUUAAUUAAGGUUCCCUAGCCCCUCUGUGUUGGGUAAGGACUGGUCUAUUUCAUUAAGGUUCCCUGUCCCCUCUGUGUUGGGUAAAGACAGGGCUAUUUAAGGUUCCCUGUCCCCUCUGUGUUGGGUAAAGACAGGAUUUUUACCCCCCCCCUGGCCGUCAAGAGGAGUGCACCAGCUUUGGCGUCUACUCUGAGCCACUCCUGUAGCUUCGUUUCACUGAGACCUAUUCUAUAAUUUCAGAUCUAAAG
Oncorhynchus tshawytscha (Chinook salmon) is the source of this 341-nucleotide long non-coding RNA. Lineage: Eukaryota; Metazoa; Chordata; Actinopteri; Salmoniformes; Salmonidae. The record is from Ensembl.